This 21-nucleotide unclassified non-coding RNA is filed under the name Chlamydomonas reinhardtii. Its description in RNAcentral is "small RNA Cre_3420". Lineage: Eukaryota; Viridiplantae; Chlorophyta; Chlorophyceae; Chlamydomonadales; Chlamydomonadaceae. The record is from RNAcentral.
UGGGUGGCGGAAUUGGAAUCG